AACGCGAAGAACCUUACCUGGGCUCGAAAUGGAGUGGACCGGGGUGGAAACAUCCCUUUUCGCAAGAACUGCUCUAUAGGUGCUGCAUGGCUGUCGUCAGCUCGUGUCGUGAGAUGUUGGGUUAAGUCCCGCAACGAGCGCAACCCUUAUCGUUAGUUGCCAGCGGGUUAUGCCGGGCACUCUAGCGAAACCGCCUCGGAUAACGGGGAGGAAGGUGGGGAUGACGUCAAGUCCUCAUGGCCUUUAUGUCCAGGGCUACACACGUGCUACAAUGGUCGGUACAAACCGUCGCAAACCCGCAAGGGGGAGCUAAUCGGAAAAAGCCGACCUCAGUUCGGAUUGGAGUCUGCAACUCGACUCCAUGAAGCUGGAAUCGCUAGUAAUCGCAGAUCAGAACGCUGCGGUGAAUACGUUCCCGGGCCUUGUACACACCGGUACUA
Molecule: ribosomal RNA, 440 nt
Filed under: uncultured bacterium
Lineage: Bacteria
Description: bacterial SSU rRNA
Rfam family: Bacterial small subunit ribosomal RNA
Source: RNAcentral